This 447-nucleotide ribosomal RNA is filed under the name uncultured bacterium. Its description in RNAcentral is "bacterial SSU rRNA". It matches the Rfam family "Bacterial small subunit ribosomal RNA", at positions 59 to 515 of the family's 1533-position model. The record is from RNAcentral.
AAGUCGAACGAAUCAUCAGGAGUAAGCUACUGAAGAUUAGCGGCGGACGGGUGAGUAACACGUGGGCAACCUGCCUGUAAGACUGGGAUAACUUCGGGAAACCGAGGCUAAUACCGGAUAAUCCUUUUCCUCACAUGAGGGAAAGCUGAAAGACGGCGCAAGCUGUCACUUACAGAUGGGCCCGCGGCGCAUUAGCUAGUUGGUGAGGUAACGGCUCACCAAGGCGACGAUGCGUAGCCGACCUGAGAGGGUGAUCGGCCACACUGGGACUGAGACACGGCCCAGACUCCUACGGGAGGCAGCAGUAGGGAAUUUUCCACAAUGGGCGAAAGCCUGAUGGAGCAACGCCGCGUGCAGGACGAAUGCCUUAGGGUUGUAAACUGCUUUUUAUCUGUGACGAAUAUGACGGUAGCAGAGAAAUAAGGAUCGGCUAAUCCGUGCAGCAGC